AUUGAACGCUGGCGGCAUGCCUUACACAUGCAAGUCGAACGGCAGCACGGGAGCAAUCCUGGUGGCGAGUGGCGAACGGGUGAGUAAUAUAUCGGAACGUGCCCGGUCGUGGGGAUAACGUAGCGAAAGCUACGCUAAUACCGCAUACGAUCUACGGAUGAAAGCGGGGGAUCGCAAGACCUCGCGCGAUUGGAGCGGCCGAUAUCAGAUUAGGUAGUUGGUGAGGUAAAGGCUCACCAAGCCGACGAUCUGUAGCUGGUCUGAGAGGACGACCAGCCACACUGGGACUGAGACACGGCCCAGACUCCUACGGGAGGCAGCAGUGGGGAAUUUUGGACAAUGGGCGCAAGCCUGAUCCAGCAAUGCCGCGUGCAGGAUGAAGGCCUCGGUUGUAACGU
This 398-nucleotide ribosomal RNA is filed under the name uncultured bacterium. Its description in RNAcentral is "bacterial SSU rRNA". It matches the Rfam family "Bacterial small subunit ribosomal RNA", at positions 30 to 431 of the family's 1533-position model. The record is from RNAcentral.